GAUGAACGCUGGCGGCGUGCCUAAUACAUGCAAGUCGAGCGAACGGACGAGAAGCUUGCUUCUCUGAUGUUAGCGGCGGACGGGUGAGUAACACGUGGAUAACCUACCUAUAAGACUGGGAUAACUUCGGGAAACCGGAGCUAAUACCGGAUAAUAUUUUGAACCGCAUGGUUCAAAAGUGAAAGACGGUCUUGCUGUCACUUAUAGAUGGAUCCGCGCUGCAUUAGCUAGUUGGUAAGGUAACGGCUUACCAAGGCAACGAUGCAUAGCCGACCUGAGAGGGUGAUCGGCCACACUGGAACUGAGACACGGUCCAGACUCCUACGGGAGGCAGCAGUAGGGAAUCUUCCGCAAUGGGCGAAAGCCUGACGGAGCAACGCCGCGUGAGUGAUGAAGGUCUUCGGAUCGUAAAACUCUGUUAUUAGGGAAGAACAUAUGUGUAAGUAACUGUGUACAUCUUGACGGUACCUAAUCAGAAAGCCGCGGCUAACUACGUG
RNAcentral lists this ribosomal RNA (497 nucleotides) under uncultured bacterium. Its description in RNAcentral is "partial 16S ribosomal RNA". It matches the Rfam family "Bacterial small subunit ribosomal RNA", at positions 28 to 507 of the family's 1533-position model. The record is from RNAcentral.